Molecule: ribosomal RNA, 301 nt
Filed under: uncultured bacterium
Lineage: Bacteria
Description: partial 16S ribosomal RNA
Rfam family: Bacterial small subunit ribosomal RNA
Source: RNAcentral
CAGCAGCCACGGUAACACGUAGGUGGCAAGCGUUGUCCGGAAUUAUUGGGCGUAAAGGGCUCGCAGGCGGUUUCUUAAGUCUGAUGUGAAAGCCCCCGGCUCAACCGGGGAGGGUCAUUGGAAACUGGGAAACUUGAGUGCAGAAGAGGAGAGUGGAAUUCCACGUGUAGCGGUGAAAUGCGUAGAGAUGUGGAGGAACACCAGUGGCGAAGGCGACUCUCUGGUCUGUAACUGACGCUGAGGAGCGAAAGCGUGGGGAGCGAACAGGAUUAGAUACCCCAGUAGUCCCUGUCUCUUAUAA